Molecule: ribosomal RNA, 676 nt
Filed under: uncultured eukaryote
Lineage: Eukaryota
Description: bacterial SSU rRNA
Rfam family: Eukaryotic small subunit ribosomal RNA
Source: RNAcentral
UAGUACACGCUUGUCUCAAAGACUAAGCCAUGCAUGUCUGAGUUAUUUUAAACUGCGAAUGGCUCAUUAAAACAGUUAUUGUUUACAGAUAUUUGGCUUUAAAUGGAUAUCCGUGGUAAACCAGAGCUAAUACAUGCGUUACGUCCGACUUUCUACGAAGGACAGUAUUUACCCUAAGCUACCUCUUGGUAACUGAGUAACUGAUCGAAUCGCCAUUUUGUGCGAUGAAUCUACAAGUUUCUGCCCUAUCAGCUAGACUGAAGUGUCUUGGACUAUAAUGGCCGUCACGGGUAACGGGGAUUAGGGUUCGAUACCGGAGAGGGAGCCUGAGAAACGGCUACCACUUUUACGGAAGGCAGCAGGCGCGUACAAUACCCAAUCCUAAUUCAGGGAGGUUGUGACAAGAAAUAACAGACCGGAUUCCGGGUUUGCAAUGGGUUACACUUACACUCAAACACUAGGAACCAUUGGAGGGCAAGUCUGGUGCCAGCAGCCGCGGUAAUUCCAGCUCGAAUAGCUUGAGUUAAAUUUGUUGCAGUUAAAAGCUCGUAGUUGGACUUCUGAACUCAGCAAUCGCUUCCUGCGCUUGUUGGCUUCAUCCAUCUGUCAACGGUUCAUGGUCUUGUCGACUGGUUCCGGGCUCUGAUACUGACCAUGAGGAAAUUAGAGUGUUCGA